UCGGUUUUGAGGCGACUUUGCGGUUUCAUCAUGGAAAACCAGGGCAGGCCGGCCAAGCUGCGCCCGUCCGAGUCGCCUUUAUUGAGCCCUGCGAGUCCCGCGUUAACGCUGCCGAGCUAAACAAACACAAGCGCCAUUGAAGAUGAACUGGCUGACGAGCGUCCAGCUCCUCCGCGAUAACUCAACUAUCCUAAGCGUUUUAACGUGUUUAGCAGAUCGCGAAGCCAAAUGGGGCGACUAACAGUGUAAAAGCGGAGUAUUAGUCGAGCCAAGUCCAUUAAAAUCAGAGAUAUUUCUCCUUUAGCUUGGCUCUUCUGCGAGUCGCCUUUUCUUUGUGCGUCAGGAGAGUCAUUCACGGGGCUGGCGCUGGGUUUCUUUCCUGUGCUCUGAUUGGCUGCCCGCGCCGAUCCGCGCCACGCCAUUGGCCCGCCGAGCUGUCGAUCGGCUGCGCGCCGGGCUGUCGUGACCGCGCACAGGCAGACAGUGCACGUAAGAGUCUGUGUCUGGAGUCUGUCUGAAACUGAUUAAAAAAUUGGUGAUGGGGUGAUUUUUUCUUUUCUUUCCUCCUCUUUUCUUCCCCCACGGCCGGGGUCCUGGCCGUUAGCUGAGAAAGAAGCGACGGGAGGCUGAACGGAACUUUACAUCCAUCAUCCAUCCAAGACUUUGUGUUAUUUUGUGAAAAAAAAAGAAAACAAAAACAAAACAGCAUUGCAUUGUAGAGCCUUGCAAAGUUUCAUGCCAUGUUGUUGACGCUUUUUUUCUCUCGUCAGAGUGCGUUAAAGCUCAGACGGCCUGGAGACUUUCUGGAGCCGCGGGGCUCCACAGGUCAACUUCGUCCGCAGACACUGACCGCAGUGCGGAUACGCUCAUCUCCACGGCGCGCAGUCGGACCUCACGGACCACGUCGUGGCCUUCAGGCUGUGAAAUUUUUCUCACUUUAUUGGAACCGGGAUCCUGAUGAGACAUUUCUUCGCCAAACACGAGUAUGUCAGUGAGACGUGUGAGACGGCUGUUGCUACACCACUGACCCAAGUCAACGUUCAGACUUUUUUUCUCAGCUUUGAGAUCUAUAGACGGGAGUCAGUCAGGCACCUCUGUGCUCGACCGUUGGGCGUCAUUUCCUCAUACAAGGCCCACUAUAAAGGAAAUGUAGAUGAGGCAUUGUCCGCGCAUGGGAAACUCCGGUCGUCCAGCUUGAUCCGUACACUCCCCUCGACACCACUGCGAGAGGGGCAGGUGGACUACGCUUACACUACUCCGAAGUUUGCAGAAGAACACUGUUUGGGAGCAGACAGAAAUAGUUCUACCUGUUCUGGCCGAGAAACUUUAUCCAACAGUCCGAAUCCCAACAUUCGUCCGGUCAUCACUGUCUUAUAUUAAACCCUACUUCUGUUUUUCACAGCAGCUGUAGCCGGAUUCACAAACACUUUCUUAAGAAAAGACUUGCGAAGGUUCUUAAAACAAACACUAAUAAAGUUCGCAAGAAUGUAUGUAAGAAUGCUCUUGAAUGCAGUUCUUGAAAAUACCUUAAGAAGUUCUCAAAUACUCUUUUGAGAUAAUCAUUUCUUAAGAUUUUGUUUGUUUUUGUUUUUGUUUUUUUUACGAAGGCUACUUUUAAUUUUAUUUUACGCUGUACUGCGAAGGUUUUGAACAUUUUUAAAUUUCUAUUAACUGCUAUAUCAGUUAUUAGUUUAUUAGUCCACUCAGAGGAGCGAAAUGGGGGAAAAACAUCAAACCAAGCAUUUUAACAUUUUAGCAAACAAGAACUAGAAGUGACGGAGGGAAGGAACAGUCUACUUGAAAAAAGUUCUCCUUAGAAAAUAUAAUAAACGUGCAGUGGCGGCUGAAAAAAGAGGCGAAGAUGAGGAGCAGCAGAGGCAGCAUCUGAGACUGACCUCAUCAACUCCCACAGCCGGAGAUGAGUUAAGAAUCAUAAUAAGGUCACCAAGACAUUUAAGAACAAAGUUUUCAACGUUUUUCUUUGAGUCAUUCGUCAGAAAACAGUUAAGACAAAAAAGAGGAUUCUUAAGAAGUUACUUACAGAAGGACAAACACCUUUUUUCUUUCUUAAGACUCUUUCAUGGUUCCGGCCCCUGGUUUACGUUAAAUGACGAAUGGGCCAACAGGAAAGAUCCGGAAUGACUUGUUGCUUGUAUCCAACCUUUCCUUACAGCAGCAACACUGUUGCCUACAGAUUUACAGCUGAAUGAAUUUAUGCAUUGUUUCCUGUGUUUGGUUUCAGACCAAUUCCUGUGCAGUUAUGUGGCCAUAUAUGAUCGUGUGCAAAAGUUUGGGCGCCCCCGCUUCUUCUACAUGGAGCACAAUUACUUUUUAUUUACUGAAUGUAUCACUUUGGGGGAAAAUAAAUAAAUAAAACAUAAAAUGUAGCCUGUGCAAAAGUUAUGCCACAUUAGAUUUGACAUGUUAAACUCAAACCCACAUUCGGUAUUAAGUGUGUCCUCUGUAGAGGAACGUGUUUAUUCAUCUUCACUUAGAAGAUCACCAGAACAUUUUGAGCGUUUGAGCUUCUUCGUUUCUUAUGAACUUUGCGCAGUGUGACUGUUUUAUUAGUGUAAAUAACACUGGGCCUCAUCCAUUAUGUGGGGUUUGUUCUGGGGUAAGAACAGAAUCUACAUACACUCAAGAGCGCAAAGGUGAGAACGGUUCUGCGCUUUAAAAACACGAAUCUGACGCAGACUUUUUCUUAGAACCUUUCUCAGUCACACAUUUAAGAGCGAACUGAGAGAUGUUGGAAAACGCCGGCGAAUGAGGCCCAGUGUCUGUUAAACUGAACGGAUUUGUUUUGCUCUGCAUGGAAAUAAUAAAGUUCCCACUUUAAGCAGA
RNA transcript from Pygocentrus nattereri (red-bellied piranha), 2844 nucleotides. RefSeq lists it as uncharacterized. The transcript is spliced from 6 exons. The record is from RefSeq and is a predicted model, not a curated record. NCBI's taxonomy places the organism in Eukaryota, Metazoa, Chordata, Actinopteri, Characiformes, Serrasalmidae.